Molecule: ribosomal RNA, 231 nt
Filed under: uncultured bacterium
Lineage: Bacteria
Description: partial 16S ribosomal RNA
Rfam family: Bacterial small subunit ribosomal RNA
Source: RNAcentral
UAAAGUGGCGUACGGGUGAGUAACACGUGGAUCAUCUACCCUCUAGUGGGGGAUAACCCUGGGAAACCGGGGCUAAUACCGCAUAAGCUCGAGAGAGGAAAGCAGCAAUGCGCUGGAGGAGGAGUCCGCGGCCGAUUAUUGCUAGUUGGUAGGGUAAAAGCCUACCAAGGCUACGAUCGGUAGCCGGCCUGAGAGGGCACACGGCCACACUGGCACUGAAACACGGGCCAG